CUGUUUGGAUAAGAGCUAGCAGAUCGACUCCAUAUUUAUUCUUAUAUUGCUCCUUCAUCUUUUUCUCACCUUUAGGGCAUCAUUAAAGUGCCUAGCAAAGUACUAGUUGCACAAUAUGUGAUCAAUAAAUACGUAACAAAUGAAUGGCUUGGUGACUUUAACUGAAUAACUGAAUGAUUGCAGAGUACAAGCAGCAUCACCAAACAAAGUUUUAGCCAGAAACAUAUGACUUGGCUUCAGGUUCAGAGAACAGAAAAAGAAGCAGAUGAUAUGGUAGACAGACCUUCUGCAGCUCCCCUAUUGGUUGCAUGGCAUAGGAAAGAAAAGGCACCAACUCUCUUGGCUUUUGCUUCAAAAACUCCAAGGAUCAGAAGGAAACCCAGAAGCUCUCCAGUUUAACACGUACUUGAAUAAGAGCUCCAUCUACUAAAUACCUGAUUACAUUACCAACAAUAGGUGGCAUUCAUUCAAUAUUUUAAGAGACGCAAUUUGUCAUAACGAAUGUAGAACUGACCUGGCUCACGUCCUUCUUCUGGCACCUGUUUUAUAACCUGAUUAAAUAAAUUAAGUCUCCAGAACUCUAAUAUUUAUAUU
This 594-nucleotide long non-coding RNA is filed under the name Monodelphis domestica (gray short-tailed opossum). Its description in RNAcentral is "lncRNA (ENSMODG00000031673.2)". The record is from RNAcentral. Lineage: Eukaryota; Metazoa; Chordata; Mammalia; Didelphimorphia; Didelphidae.